Molecule: ribosomal RNA, 405 nt
Filed under: uncultured bacterium
Lineage: Bacteria
Description: bacterial SSU rRNA
Rfam family: Bacterial small subunit ribosomal RNA
Source: RNAcentral
UGAGGAAUUUUCCGCAAUGGGCGAAAGCCUGACGGAGCAAUGCCGCGUGGAGGAUGAAAGCCUAUGGGUUGUAAACUCCUUUUCUCAGAGAAGAAAUUUUGACGGUAUCUGAGGAAUAAGCAUCGGCUAACUCCGUGCCAGCAGCCGCGGUAAUACGGGGGAUGCAAGUGUUAUCCGGAAUAAUUGGGCGUAAAGCGUCUGUAGGUGGUUGACCAAGUCUGUUGUUAAAAAUCAGGGCUUAACCCUGAUCCGGCAACAGAAACUAGUAAACUUGAGUACGGUAGGGGCAGAGGGAAUUCUCGGUGUAGUGGUGAAAUACGUAGAUAUCGAGAAGAACACCAAUAGCGAAAGCACUCUGCUGGGCCGAAACUGACAUUGAGAGACGAAAGCUAGGGGAGCAAAAGG